GGGAGAUUGGCUCAACUGGAUAGAGCGUCGGCCUCCGGAGCCGAAGGUUGUGGGUUCGAAUCCCGUAUCUCCCA
This 74-nucleotide transfer RNA is filed under the name Treponema sp. RNAcentral describes it as "tRNA-Arg". It matches the Rfam family "tRNA". Rfam says of the family: Transfer RNA (tRNA) molecules are approximately 80 nucleotides in length. Their secondary structure includes four short double-helical elements and three loops (D, anti-codon, and T loops). Lineage: Bacteria; Pseudomonadati; Spirochaetota; Spirochaetia; Treponematales; Treponemataceae. RNAcentral also lists the same sequence under 1 other name. The record is from RNAcentral.